GACGAACGCUGGCGGCGUGCUUAACACAUGCAAGUCGAGCGGAAAGGCCCUUCGGGGUACUCGAGCGGCGAACGGGUGAGUAACACGUGAGUAACCUGCCCCAGACUUUGGGAUAACCCUCGGAAACGGGGGCUAAUACCGGAUACGACACAGCUUCGCAUGGGGUCUGUGUGGAAAGUUUUUCGGUUUGGGAUGGGCUCGCGGCCUAUCAGCUUGUUGGUGGGGUGAUGGCCUACCAAGGCGACGACGGGUAGCCGGCCUGAGAGGGCGACCGGCCACACUGGGACUGAGACACGGCCCAGACUCCUACGGGAGGCAGCAGUGGGGAAUAUUGCACAAUGGGCGGAAGCCUGAUGCAGCGAUGCCGCGUGAGGGAUGACGGCCUUCGGGUUGUAAACCUCUUUCAGCAGGGACGAAGCGUAAGUGACGGUACCUGCAGAAGAAGCGCCGGCCAACUACGUG
RNAcentral lists this ribosomal RNA (462 nucleotides) under uncultured bacterium. RNAcentral describes it as "partial 16S ribosomal RNA". It matches the Rfam family "Bacterial small subunit ribosomal RNA", at positions 28 to 507 of the family's 1533-position model. The record is from RNAcentral.